AUGUCCAAAAGGAAGAGGGUGAGUGCAGAUCCUCAAGGAGUACAAACUAGGUAUUUGGAAAAGGUAGCGAUACAUGUUAAAUCAGAUAGAUUAGCAGCCACAGAAAACACAGGCCCAACUAUACCACACUUCACCCCUACUCCACUGGCCAAACCCCUAUUAGAACUGCUGAGAGCCCAACAUCAGAUGAAUCUCCUUGCUCAAAGGAUCAUAGGAUCUCACAACAAUACUGGGCUCUGCAUUGCUCUUGUCAGUACCUCUUGCCCUUUGUCAGCAUACUACACCCAUUGUUGUUUGAUUAUGUAG
RNAcentral lists this ribosomal RNA (306 nucleotides) under Triticum aestivum (bread wheat). RNAcentral describes it as "partial small subunit ribosomal RNA". Lineage: Eukaryota; Viridiplantae; Streptophyta; Magnoliopsida; Poales; Poaceae. The record is from RNAcentral.